CCUUGAGAUAUGUUAACUUGGAGAACACCUCCAUUCCCUAUCAUUCUGUUGUAACAAGUCUUCAAAGAGCUGCUUGCUUUCUUCAGCCACAGUAGAUGCCUCCUUGACUAGUCCCAGGAAGACAAUAUGACUAUUUCAGCUUCCAAGAGAAGUGAAUGAUGCAGAGAAGAGCCAAUUCAGCCAGGUGGCAGCAAUCUGGCUCUGGGCUUCCUGGCCUCUGACAGGGACGUGCAGGACGACCCUUGGGGAGAAAUGGGUCACUUCUGCGUCUUGUUAGAUGGACCGUUACACAGACUGAGAGGACGCUGACUGCUGAAGGAGGCAGCCAGCCAAGUCUGUAGCUACCCACCUCUGAAUUUAUUGAAGACAGGGAAGAAAAGAACCCCAAGAGAGGAAUGUGAAUGCCAUAUUCUAAAAGGAAGUUCUAAUUGGCAAUGAGCAUGGAAAACUUACCUGGAAUUACAAUCAAGCUGGGCACAAGAGUACUACUGUCCCGUCCUAUUCCUCUACCUAGUCCAUGCUACUCAUCAAAGACAAAGAGUCUGGCAGGAAUAAAGAAGCUGCUAAACACAAGUCUUAAAAAAC
Molecule: long non-coding RNA, 585 nt
Filed under: Mus spretus (western wild mouse)
Lineage: Eukaryota; Metazoa; Chordata; Mammalia; Rodentia; Muridae
Description: lncRNA (ENSMSPG00010050612.1)
Source: RNAcentral